UGUGUUUACAAGACAACAAUACUUGCGUAAAAGUUUAAGCGUCUGUUUUACCAUCUCCGCAUCAGAGAUAUUCUCUUAACAAUGUGAGUUAUAUUCACAAAGAGACUUCAAGUCUUGAAGUUUUAGUAAUAACUAAUUAUAACUUAUUUUAUCUAAUAACACAUUCAUAUAAGAAUUGCUUUAUACAACUUUUAGAUCUUUAGUAGUCAAAGAUUGAACAUAAUCUUCUCGAUAUGUCACUUAUUAUCUAUUCAUUACUUCUCCUCCUCGAAAUGAUGAAACUUCAAGUUCAUCCAUCUCGUAUUGAAUUCCACUCUAGAAGCAAAUGUAUUUUAUAUCUCAUCAUAUUAACUUUGAGAUUUGGAGAACUAUACCGCAUCGAUGAUCUUAAUUUUGUAUUCCCAUAGAAAACAAUGUAUAUGCUCUUCUAGAGUCUUUUAAUAAGAUUUUAUACUACUUGAUAUACUAGAUUAUUUCAUCGUUAUAUUUAUUUUUUACUUUUGGUGAUAAUUUAAGUUCUUGAAAAAACUUUGACCAUCAAAAUUAUGAUGUCUUCUUAAGAUACAUUAAACUAGUCAUUCAUAAAAAUUUCUAUAAGUGAUUAUACCUUUAAAUUAAGUUAUUUAUCAAUCAAUUUAUUUCAUAAAAU
This 649-nucleotide small RNA is filed under the name Arabidopsis thaliana (thale cress). RNAcentral describes it as "ATSL176260". The record is from RNAcentral. Lineage: Eukaryota; Viridiplantae; Streptophyta; Magnoliopsida; Brassicales; Brassicaceae.